AAAAUAAAUAAUUCACUGAAAGCAGAAACUGCCAAAUCUUUUUUGUAGCACUCAUGCACAAGGGCAGUCCUGGAUAUUUGAUGCAGUGUAAAGUUCAAAUAGAAACACACUCCACAUAUAAGAGUGAAUAUAAGGAGAGAAACCUCUGAUGAAUUUUUAUUGAUAAAAAUUUGUCUCUAAAUUACACGUAAAUAAGGGUAUU
RNAcentral lists this unclassified non-coding RNA (202 nucleotides) under Hevea brasiliensis (rubber tree). The record is from RNAcentral. Lineage: Eukaryota; Viridiplantae; Streptophyta; Magnoliopsida; Malpighiales; Euphorbiaceae.